Molecule: small nuclear RNA, 18 nt
Filed under: Arabidopsis thaliana (thale cress)
Lineage: Eukaryota; Viridiplantae; Streptophyta; Magnoliopsida; Brassicales; Brassicaceae
Description: snRNA_14078
Source: RNAcentral
GACGUGUGUGUCAAGCGA